ACAACCCCAACGCUUUUGUAAGCUAUCGCCGCCGGAGUGACCGAUUGAGAACGAGCUGAGAAUGAAUCACAACGCUGGCUGGAGGGAGGUAGCUUGAAAGAUUGCGGCUAUGGGUGUUAGGAGACGGCUGACGAAUCCGCUUAACUGAGGUUUGUACGUUUUUGUUUUAUUUGAUUUGAACCGUACAAAUCAUUAACUAAUUCUGGUCUAAUUGAAAUCGAUAUAUAUAUAUAUAUAUAUAUCAGUUUACAACGUAGCUUAUACUUUGUACUUUUAUUCUAUUUAAUUAAUGCAGGUUAUAUUUAUUUCAUUGAUUAAAUUUUUGCAUAAUAUAUGACGGUAUAUGUUAGUACAUUACGUACAGGUUAGCUAUACUUUAGUUUUGCGUAUUUGUAUCA
RNAcentral lists this long non-coding RNA (398 nucleotides) under Brassica napus (rape). Its description in RNAcentral is "long non-coding RNA (BNAP_LNC000119)". The record is from RNAcentral. Lineage: Eukaryota; Viridiplantae; Streptophyta; Magnoliopsida; Brassicales; Brassicaceae.